This 1372-nucleotide ribosomal RNA is filed under the name uncultured bacterium. RNAcentral's name for it is "bacterial SSU rRNA". It matches the Rfam family "Bacterial small subunit ribosomal RNA", at positions 9 to 1381 of the family's 1533-position model. The record is from RNAcentral.
GAGUUUGAUCUUGGCUCAGGACGAACGCUGGCGGCGUGCUUAACACAUGCAAGUCGAACGAUGAAGCCUAGCUUGCUAGGUGGAUUAGUGGCGAACGGGUGAGUAAUACGUGAGUGACCUACCUUUGACUCUGGGAUAAGCCUGGGAAACUGGGUCUAAUACCGGAUACGACCAAUCUCCGCAUGGGGUGUUGGUGGAAAGCGUUAUGGAGUGGUUUUAGAUGGGCUCACGGCCUAUCAGCUUGUUGGUGAGGUAAUGGCUUACCAAGGCGACGACGGGUAGCCGGCCUGAGAGGGUGACCGGCCACACUGGGACUGAGACACGGCCCAGACUCCUACGGGAGGCAGCAGUGGGGAAUAUUGCACAAUGGGCGCAAGCCUGAUGCAGCGACGCCGCGUGAGGGAUGACGGCCUUCGGGUUGUAAACCUCUGUUAGCAUCGAAGAAGCGAAAGUGACGGUAGGUGCAGAGAAAGCGCCGGCUAACUACGUGCCAGCAGCCGCGGUAAUACGUAGGGCGCGAGCGUUGUCCGGAAUUAUUGGGCGUAAAGAGCUUGUAGGCGGUUGGUCGCGUCUGCUGUGAAAGGCUGGGGCUUAACCCUGGUUUUGCAGUGGGUACGGGCUAACUAGAGUGCAGUAGGGGAGACUGGAAUUCCUGGUGUAGCGGUGGAAUGCGCAGAUAUCAGGAGGAACACCGAUGGCGAAGGCAGGUCUCUGGGCUGUAACUGACGCUGAGAAGCGAAAGCAUGGGGAGCGAACAGGAUUAGAUACCCUGGUAGUCCAUGCCGUAAACGUUGGGCACUAGGUGUGGGGGACAUUCCACGUUUUCCGCGCCGUAGCUAACGCAUUAAGUGCCCCGCCUGGGGGAGUACGGCCGCAAGGCUAAAAACUCAAAGAAAUUGACGGGGGCCCGCACAAGCGGCGGAGCAUGCGGAUUAAUUCGAUGCAAACGCGAAGAACCUUACCAAGGCUUGACAUAUACUGGACUGCGUCAGAGAUGGCGUUUCCCUUCGGGGCUGGUAUACAGGUGGUGCAUGGUUGUCGUCAGCUCGUGUCGUGAGAUGUUGGGUUAAGUCCCGCAACGAGCGCAACCCUCGUUCUAUGUUGCCAGCACGUGAUGGUGGGGACUCAUAGGAGACUGCCGGGGUCGAACUCGGAGGAAGGUGGGGAUGACGUCAAAUCAUCAUGCCCCUUAUGUCUUGGGCUUCACGCAUGCUACGAUGGCCGGUACAGAGGGUUGCGAUACUGUGAGGUGGAGCUAAUCCCUAAAAGCCGGUCUCAGUUCGGAUUGGGGUCUGCAACUCGACCCCAUGAAAGUCGGAGUCGCUAGUAAUCGCAAAUCAGCAACGCUGCGGUGAAAUACGUUCCCGGGCCU